This 541-nucleotide ribosomal RNA is filed under the name uncultured Gallionellaceae bacterium. RNAcentral's name for it is "bacterial SSU rRNA". It matches the Rfam family "Bacterial small subunit ribosomal RNA", at positions 135 to 671 of the family's 1533-position model. Lineage: Bacteria; Pseudomonadati; Pseudomonadota; Betaproteobacteria; Nitrosomonadales; Gallionellaceae. The record is from RNAcentral.
AAUGGGGGAUAACGUAGCGAAAGUUACGCUAAUACCGCAUAUGCCCUGAGGGGGAAAGGUGGGGAUCGCAAGACCUAUCGUUUUCGGAGUGGCCGAUAUCAGAUUAGCUAGUUGGUGGGGUAAAGGCCCACCAAGGCGACGAUCUGUAGCGGGUCUGAGAGGAUGAUCCGCCACACUGGGACUGAGACACGGCCCAGACUCCUACGGGAGGCAGCAGUGGGGAAUUUUGGACAAUGGGGGCAACCCUGAUCCAGCCAUGCCGCGUGAGUGAAGAAGGCCUUCGGGUUGUAAAGCUCUUUCAGCCGGAAAGAAAUCGCGCAGGCUAAUAUCCUGUGUGGAUGACGGUACCGGAAGGAGAAGCACCGGCUAACUACGUGCCAGCAGCCGCGGUAAUACGUAGGGUGCGAGCGUUAAUCGGAAUUACUGGGCGUAAAGCGUGCGCAGGCGGUUUUGUAAGACAGGCGUGAAAUCCCCGGGCUUAACCUGGGAACUGCGUUUGUGACUGCAAGGCUAGAGUGUGGCAGAGGGGGGUAGAAUUCCG